This 484-nucleotide ribosomal RNA is filed under the name uncultured bacterium. Its description in RNAcentral is "partial 16S ribosomal RNA". It matches the Rfam family "Bacterial small subunit ribosomal RNA", at positions 29 to 507 of the family's 1533-position model. The record is from RNAcentral.
AUUGAACGCUGGCGGCAUGCUUUACACAUGCAAGUCGAACGGCAGCGCGGGCUUCGGCCUGGCGGCGAGUGGCGAACGGGUGAGUAAUACAUCGGAACGUGCCCAGUAGGGGGGGAUAGCUCGGCGAAAGCCGGAUUAAUACCGCAUACGACCUGAGGGUGAAAGCGGGGGAUCUUCGGACCUCGCGCUUUUGGAGCGGCCGAUGGCAGAUUAGCUAGUUGGUGGGGUAAAGGCCUACCAAGGCGACGAUCUGUAGCUGGUCUGAGAGGACGACCAGCCACACUGGGACUGAGACACGGCCCAGACUCCUACGGGAGGCAGCAGUGGGGAAUUUUGGACAAUGGGCGAAAGCCUGAUCCAGCAAUGCCGCGUGUGUGAUGAAGGCCUUCGGGUUGUAAAGCACUUUUGGCGGGAACGAAAAGGACUGUGCCAAUACCACGGUUCGAUGACGGUACCCGCAGAAUAAGCACCGGCUAACUACGUG